UUAUUACUCCCUUCGUCCGGAAAUACUCGUCGGAGGAAUGGAUGUAUCUAGAUGUAUUUUAAUUUUAGAUACAUUCAUUUUCAUGCAUUUCUUCGACAAGUAUUUCCGGACGGAGGGAGUACGAA
This is a non-coding RNA of Triticum aestivum (bread wheat), 125 nucleotides long. NCBI's taxonomy places the organism in Eukaryota, Viridiplantae, Streptophyta, Magnoliopsida, Poales, Poaceae. The record is from Rfam.